GACGAACGCUGGCGGCGUGCUUAACACAUGCAAGUCGAACGGUGACGAGGAGCUUGCUCCUCUGAUCAGUGGCGAACGGGUGAGUAACACGUGAGCAACCUGCCCCAGACUCUGGGAUAACAGUUGGAAACAGCUGCUAAUACCGGAUACGAGACGGAGAGGCAUCUCUACCGUCUGGAAAGUUUUUCGGUCUGGGAUGGACUCGCGGCCUAUCAGCUAGUUGGUGAGGUAAUGGCUCACCAAGGCGACGACGGGUAGCCGGCCUGAGAGGGCGACCGGCCACACUGGGACUGAGACACGGCCCAGACUCCUACGGGAGGCAGCAGUGGGGAAUAUUGCACAAUGGGCGAAAGACCUGACCCACGCCAUGCCGCGUGAAGGAAGACGGCCUUAUGGGUUGUAAACUUCUUUACUACGCGAAUAGAGGUUAGUACGAGAUACUAAUAGGAAGGUAAGUGUAGUAAAAGAACACCGGACGUAACUACCGUCGUCCAGCAGCCGCCGGUAAAGACUACG
RNAcentral lists this ribosomal RNA (516 nucleotides) under uncultured bacterium. RNAcentral's name for it is "bacterial SSU rRNA". It matches the Rfam family "Bacterial small subunit ribosomal RNA", at positions 28 to 530 of the family's 1533-position model. The record is from RNAcentral.